GAUUCCAGCUCCCAUGUCUCUAGCCAGAUUAUGCCAUUUUUGCUCAUGUCUUUUAAUCCUUUAGGCUUAUGACUGGUAUUGUUCUGAGAGAUAUAUGUCCACUCCAGUGUUUUCUCUUGUAGCACAUAGCAGUUUUUGUGCAUUUGGGCCCUCUGUACAAAAUGUCUCAAGCUGUUAUUGAAGUAGGGACAAAUGAAGCUGAAGCAAUGUCCAGCACUGAAACCAUGCACUGGCCUGGCCAGCCUCGGGCCAAGAGCACCACAAACACAGGAGAUACAGUGAGGCUUCCAAAGCCUCACCCUCAGGUAAGAUGAGGGUCCCACCUAGUCAUUGAGUGGUCAGAAGCCUGGAGAUGUCCCCAUGUCAUGAGUCAAUUUUACCUCUAAUGCACUGAGAGCUUGUCCGGCCACC
This 411-nucleotide long non-coding RNA is filed under the name Zonotrichia albicollis (white-throated sparrow). RNAcentral's name for it is "lncRNA (ENSZALG00000001318.1)". The record is from RNAcentral. Lineage: Eukaryota; Metazoa; Chordata; Aves; Passeriformes; Passerellidae.